ACACGACUACAUUAGAUACCCCCGUAGUCCUAGCCGUAAACGAUACUCGCUAGGUGUCGGCCACGGUGCGACCGUUGUCGGUGCCGUAGGGAAGCCGUGAAGCGAGCCACCUGGGAGUACGGCCGCAAGGCUGAAACUUAAAGGAAUUGGCGGGGGAGCACAACAACGGGUGGAGCUUGCGGUUUAAUUGGAUUCAACGCCGGAAAUCUUACCGGGACCGACAGCAACAUGAAGGCCAAGCUGAAGACUUUGCCGGAUUAGCUG
Molecule: ribosomal RNA, 264 nt
Filed under: uncultured archaeon
Lineage: Archaea
Description: partial 16S ribosomal RNA
Rfam family: Archaeal small subunit ribosomal RNA
Source: RNAcentral